AGUGAACGCUGGCGGUAGGCCUAACACAUGCAAGUCGAACGGCAGCACAGUAAGAGCUUCCUCUUACGGGUGGCGAGUGGCGGACGGGUGAGGGAUACAUCGGAAUCUACUUUUUCGUGGGGGAUAACGUAGGGAAACUUACGCUAAUACCGCAUACGACCUACGGGUGAAAGCAGGGGAUCUUCGGACCUUGCGCGAUUGAAUGAGCCGAUGUCGGAUUAGCUAGUUGGCGGGGUAAAGGCCCACCAAGGCGACGAUCCGUAGCUGGUCUGAGAGGAUGAUCAGCCACACUGGAACUGAGACACGGUCCAGACUCCUACGGGAGGCAGCAGUGGGGAAUAUUGGACAAUGGGCGCAAGCCUGAUCCAGCCAUACCGCGUGGGUGAAGAAGGCCUUCGGGUUGUAAAGCCCUUUUGUUGGGAAAGAAAAGCAGCAGGUUAAUACCCCGCUGUUCUGACGGUACCCAAAGAAUAAGCACCGGCUAACUUCGUG
This 492-nucleotide ribosomal RNA is filed under the name uncultured bacterium. RNAcentral's name for it is "partial 16S ribosomal RNA". It matches the Rfam family "Bacterial small subunit ribosomal RNA", at positions 29 to 507 of the family's 1533-position model. The record is from RNAcentral.